GAGGUGGCUUCCGGCCGCCAGGCGAGACUCCGCGGGAAAACUCCCUGCUAGAGAGACUAGGAGAUUUGGGGCUGCGGCCGUUUCCUCCGGAGCACCCACGGGACUGUGUGCUGGGGUCCCUCCACCGGCUGUGUCCUUUAUUCUUCUUUCUCACCCAACGAUUUACCUGAACGGUUAUAAAGUGCACGUUAUUUCCCUAAGCACUUUGAGUAUAUUGGCCCACUGCAUUCUGGACUUCAAAAUUUCUGAUGCGAAAUAUGCUGAUACUUUUGUUGAAGAAAUCUGGGCUUUGAGCAUCUGUAAGAUAUUUGUUGGAAGGUUUUGUCUGGUCCUUCUUACUGAUGUGUUGCUCUUCUUCAUGGCUCGUGAAAACUAUUAGAGUCAUCCAAGGGUGGGAAGAGAGAUCAGCAACGUUAACUGGGUGUCAAGAAAACAUACCGAGAUUGAAGCCAUCCACUUCUGCAGGAACACCGAAAAGAAAGGACUGUGAAGACAACCAGAGUGGGAAGGAACCUCAGAAACCUUUGGACCAACAGAGGAAAAAGCCCAGAGGAUGAAACAAUCCUAUUAACCCAUGGAUUUAAUGUCUACAAAGCAGAAAGUAGAAUAACUUGGACUUAAAGGCUGAAUGACCCAUUUCUUCAGCCUCCUCUCAAAGGCAAUAUUUCUCAGCCCUUCAGUCAUUUUCAUUGCUCUCUUCUGGCCUCUCUCCAAGAUUCUGUAUCUUGUUUAAAUAGUGAAGUCCAACACCGAACAUGAUUUAAGAACAGUCAUGCCUGGAAAAGUAACAAAGGCCCAACGAAUACGGACUCCAGAAAGUAAACAUUUUCUCAAAAACAAAAGUAUUGUAAUAUUAAUAAUGGUAGUAAGAAUUAGGUUGACCAAAUAAAAUCAUUUUUGUUGCCCGUCA
RNAcentral lists this long non-coding RNA (910 nucleotides) under Homo sapiens (human). RNAcentral's name for it is "ZFHX3 antisense RNA 1". Lineage: Eukaryota; Metazoa; Chordata; Mammalia; Primates; Hominidae. The record is from RNAcentral.